RNAcentral lists this ribosomal RNA (394 nucleotides) under uncultured bacterium. Its description in RNAcentral is "partial 16S ribosomal RNA". It matches the Rfam family "Bacterial small subunit ribosomal RNA", at positions 523 to 918 of the family's 1533-position model. The record is from RNAcentral.
AUACGUAGGGAGCGAGCGUUGUCCGGAAUUACUGGGCGUAAAGGGCGCGUAGGCGGCGCUUCAAGUCGUCUGUCAAAUGGGAGGGCUUAACCCUUUUUCGCAGACGAAACUGGAGAGCUUGAGAAGCAGAGAGGCAAACAGAAUUCCUGGUGUAGCGGUGAAAUGCGUGGAUAUCAGGAAGAAUACCAGUGGCGAAGGCGGUUUGCUGGCUGCAUACUGACGCUGAAGCGCGAAAGCCAGGGGAGCAAACGGGAGUAGAUACCCCGGUAGUCCUGGCAGUAAACGAUGUAUGCUGGGUGUGAGACUAGCGAUAGUUUCGUGCCGAAGUUAACGCGAUAAGCAUACCGCCUGGGGAGUACGGUCGCAAGAUUGAAACUCAAAUGAAUUGGCGGGG